ACAUGCUUACAACAUAGUGUUAAUGCACCAAAUCCCAUUAGAACUCUACAAUUAAGCACACUCAGGCUAAAGUAGUACCUGGAUGGGUGAUCGCCCAGGAAGUCAUAGUGUUUGACAUGCC
Molecule: non-coding RNA, 121 nt
Organism: Picea glauca (white spruce)
Lineage: Eukaryota; Viridiplantae; Streptophyta; Pinopsida; Pinales; Pinaceae
Source: Rfam